Molecule: long non-coding RNA, 2083 nt
Organism: Astatotilapia calliptera (eastern happy)
Lineage: Eukaryota; Metazoa; Chordata; Actinopteri; Cichliformes; Cichlidae
Source: Ensembl
GGGGGGAGGUUUUUUAUGUCUAAAUCCCGGUUUGAUCUGCGUAUACUGUCAGACUGGCGGUGUGUAAUAGUAGCAGUGUGUGUGUGUUGGGGGCAGCCACUGGAAGUGACGUCACCGCGGUGUAAACAGUCAGGAAAUGAAUCCUCUCUCGGCGGCUGCGGGAGCGCGCACGCCCUCGCACCACCCUCCUCAGAGAAACGGGCGCUCAGCAUCAUCAGCAUCCAGUGACGACGUCCAUGAGGAGAUGAAGGUGAGCCAGCCUUUCUGAUCAAAGCACCCGUCUAUAAAGCUCAAGGCUGGCCUUCCUCGGUGGGGAUGUCAACACAUCUACUUCUAAGUCGAGGCAGAGGGAUGGGAAAAGGAGACCGGAAUGACUAGAAGCCCCCGCAGGCAUCUGCCACUCAUCUGCCACUCAACCGAUGCAGAUCCAGUGUGAUUUUUAACUCCUUAAUACUUGAUUGUAUUAUCUCGGGCGUGAUAAAAUAAGUCAGUGUUUCAGCCGAGAGCAACAAAGUGUCAGUCAGAAACUGCAGUGAAGAUAUGCUAAAAGGUUUUCUGUGCUUCUGGCGCAGACAAGCAGAUACAGAGCAGAUUAUGCUUUAUUAGCUGUUCAUGGAGACUUAAUUGUGAGAUCAAAGUUAACAGUGUUCCAUCGGUGCGAGGCAGAGCAGAUUUCAUUAGGCUGAGUAAUAUCAGCGCAAUAAUAGUGUCAUCUGCGCACAGCAAGUUCAGAGGAUCUUAAUAAUAUUUCUGGACAAACUGGAAGAGGAAAUUCAUCCGCACGAAUGGCAAAAUGUCUCCAAGCUUCUAGGAAAACAGUAAUAAACAAGAGAUACAGCGGAAUUUGGCUUGAUGGUUGCACUCUGCAGCUGCCCUGGUCAAUCAGAAAUAUCACACACAAGACUAAAACAAAUCCACUCAUGCAGAAUCCAGUAACAAAGUAAUAUAAUGGCCAUACAUGGGAAAAAAGAUGCAAACGAUCCACGGUUCACAGACCAGGAGGAGGAGUAGCCCGAAAAAUCUGAGGAGAUGAUCUCAAAUCAUUAUGAAGUAUGUUAAAAUCUACUUAAAAGAUCCAAGUGAGCCUAAUUUAUGGUUAAAAACUUAGGUUGAAGAGACACACACACAGUUACAGUGUUUAUGGUGAGUGCUGCAAGUUAGGUCCUAAGUGUAGAGCAUAUACCCAGCCCCUUAAUGUAGUAGAAUAUGAUAUAGUAAGGGCAGUAUUAGGGAUGGUGUGCUUCACCUUGUAAUUAGUAGUGGAGGGAUAAUAGCUGUUUCCUGUGCAUUGCAUCUCUAAGAUAAAGAAACUAUUAUUCAGAUGUUGUGAUUGUUUGCUGCUACUUCCAGAAUUUAAUCUAAGUGCUGUCAUAAAGUUCCCACCAUAAAAAGGAAAAGAAAGAAAAAACACCUGAUUUUAGUUUGGUUAAUCUACCCUAUCUUUAUCUUCGCGCUCUUAGGCAGCUCAAGUGGUGAUGCUAUUUUUAGAUCUUUCCUGGAAGACCCAUUUCAACCACUCGCCCUGAUGCAUUUGCAAUGUGUGCUGCAUCCUUCAGUGGGCAAAAUUGUGGCUCUUAGGAGAGGACAAGUUGCUUUUAGGAUGUUACAGUAGAACUUGGCAUUGAUAGGCUGACCCUGGGGCAUGAAUUUAUGGUUCAGGAUUCUGUGAAUGCCAAAAAAACUAGUGAGCAUGCUUCUUGUCAUUCUCCUGACCAAAUGCACCGCCGUUAGGUUUGGACACAUUGGUCGCUUCCACUGAAACCUGCCGUUUUGUGAUAUUGAAGUUAUUUGCUGUCUGCAAACACGGUAUAUCAACUUCAUGGUGAAUGAGGCUUCAACCAAGUGCUCUAACUAUAUGGAAGAACUGCAGAGGUGCACGAGGGGGUGAUGUUGAAGGGAUAUCAGCCAAAUUUAAAUCAGGUAAUAUUAUUUGAUUUCAUUACUGAGGAGUCAAACAAGUUUGUGAUCUGACUACUGAGGUGUAAGAAUUCCUAAAAGCCCUUUCCCUCAUUAAAAAUAACUUGACUCUAUUAUUUGUGAGGCUGAGGGGGUUACAGCAUCAGUGUUAUGUUGCUAAUUAAAG